CCUACGGGUGGCUGCAGUGGGGAAUAUUGCACAAUGGGCGCAAGCCUGAUGCAGCCAUGCCGCGUGUGUGAAGAAGGCCUUCGGGUUGUAAAGCACUUUCAGCGGGGAGGAAGGCGGUGAGGUUAAUAACCUCAUCGAUUGACAUUACCCGCAGAAGAAGCACCGGCUAACUCCGUGCCAGCAGCCGCGGUAAUACGGAGGGUGCAAGCGUUAAUCGGAAUUACUGGGCGUAAAGCGCACGCAGGCGGUCUGUCAAGUCGGAUGUGAAAUCCCCGGGCUCAACCUGGGAACUGCAUUCGAAACUGGCAGGCUAGAGUCUUGUAGAGGGGGGUAGAAUUCCAGGUGUAGCGGUGAAAUGCGUAGAGAUCUGGAGGAAUACCGGUGGCGAAGGCGGCCCCCUGGACAAAGACUGACGCUCAGGUGCGAAAGCGUGGGGAGCAAACAGGAUUAGAUACCCUUGUAGUC
RNAcentral lists this ribosomal RNA (465 nucleotides) under uncultured Klebsiella sp. RNAcentral's name for it is "bacterial SSU rRNA". It matches the Rfam family "Bacterial small subunit ribosomal RNA", at positions 338 to 795 of the family's 1533-position model. The record is from RNAcentral. Lineage: Bacteria; Pseudomonadati; Pseudomonadota; Gammaproteobacteria; Enterobacterales; Enterobacteriaceae.